Molecule: ribosomal RNA, 387 nt
Filed under: uncultured Planctomycetota bacterium
Lineage: Bacteria; Pseudomonadati; Planctomycetota
Description: bacterial SSU rRNA
Rfam family: Bacterial small subunit ribosomal RNA
Source: RNAcentral
UUCGCAACGCCCGAAAGGGUCUGACCUAUCCCUGGAGGAAGCACGGGCUAAGUUCGUGCCAGCAGCCGCGGUAAGACGAACCGUGCGAACGUUGUUCGGAAUCACUGGGCUUAAAGGGCGCGUAGGCGGGCCGCAAAGUCAGGGGUGAAAUCCUCCAGCUCAACUGGAGAACUGCCUUUGAUACUGGCGGCCUGGAGUAAGGUAGGGGCAUGCGGAACUGAUGGUGGAGCGGUGAAAUGUGUUGAUAUCAUCAGGAACUCCGGUGGCGAAAGCGGCGUGCUGGACCUUUACUGACGCUGAGGCGCGAAAGCCAGGGGAGCAAACGGGAUUAGAUACCCCGGUAGUCCUGGCCCUAAACGAUGGGCACUAAGUAGAGGGGUUUUAAUC